AAACUUAAAUGAAUUGAGGGGACCCGCACAAGCAGCGGAGCGUGUGGUUUAAUUCGUUGCUACACGAAGAACUUACCUGGGUUUGACAUAUAGGUUGUAGGGAACUGAAAGGGACCGACCCUUCGGGGAGCCUAUACAGGUGUUGCAUGGCUGUCGUCAGCUCGUGUCGUGAGAUGUUCGGUUAAGUCCGCUAACGAGCGCAACCCUCGUCGUAUGUUAUAUGUGUCAUACGAGACUGCCGGUAAAAGCCGGAGGAAGGUGAGGAUGAUGUCAAGUCAGCAUGACCUUUAUAUCCAGGGCUACACACACGCUACAAUGGUCUGUACAAUGGGUAGCCAAGCCGCGAGGCGGAGCCAAUCCUGAAAGCAGGCCUCAGUUCAGAUUGCAGUCUGCAACUCGACUCCAUGAAGUUGGAAUCGCUAGUAAUCGCGGAUCAGCAUGCCGCGGUCGAAUACGUUCCCGGGCCUU
RNAcentral lists this ribosomal RNA (468 nucleotides) under uncultured Anaerolineaceae bacterium. RNAcentral's name for it is "bacterial SSU rRNA". It matches the Rfam family "Bacterial small subunit ribosomal RNA", at positions 897 to 1382 of the family's 1533-position model. The record is from RNAcentral. Lineage: Bacteria; Bacillati; Chloroflexota; Anaerolineae; Anaerolineales; Anaerolineaceae.